GUGUUUCAGAUUUGUUUCAAACACAGCAAUCAAACAUGUGUUCAGGAUUUAAUGCAACAACGUGUUCUGACCAUGUUACAUGUAGCACUAUUCCGGACAUGCAUUCAAAAUCGUGCUCCUUUAAAGAUGUUGCCGUCAAAUUAUGUCCACAAACUUGUGGAUGUUGCCAUUAACCUCAGAAGAACCAAAUUGGUAACCUUAGAAUAUCAGGAUACAGAAGGAAACAAAACAAAACACUUAUGUCUGAAAGCGCAACAUCUCUUAAAU
Ruditapes philippinarum (Manila clam) is the source of this 267-nucleotide long non-coding RNA. RefSeq lists it as uncharacterized. The transcript has 3 exons. Lineage: Eukaryota; Metazoa; Mollusca; Bivalvia; Venerida; Veneridae. The record is from RefSeq and is a predicted model, not a curated record.